Molecule: long non-coding RNA, 246 nt
Filed under: Elaeis guineensis (African oil palm)
Lineage: Eukaryota; Viridiplantae; Streptophyta; Magnoliopsida; Arecales; Arecaceae
Description: long non-coding RNA (EGUI_LNC017830)
Source: RNAcentral
UCGUAUGGUCACGCUCAGUACUAGUUGUUCUCUAACAACCAUCUGCACUCGUCACUCUGUGUCUCUACACAGUAGAUCAGAGACUCAUCUAUCCCAAAAAAAAUGAUUUAUGUAUCAGUCUAUCUGGAUCUAUCAUCAUCUUCAUGAUGAUCCUAUAAUCGAGAGUAUUUAGGAAUUAAAUACAUGUCUCUAAUUCUCAACACUUUAGAAAUAUGUAUCGAAACUAAUUUCAUAGAUGAUUCAAGA